GGGCGAAAGCCUGAAGCAGCAACGCCGCGUGUGCGAUGAAGGCCUUCGGGUCGUAAAGCACUUUUCUGAGAGAUGAGAAAGGACAGUAUCUCAGGAAUAAGUCUCGGCUAACUACGUGCCAGCAGCCGCGGUAAAACGUAGGAGGCAAGCGUUAUCCGGAUUCACUGGGCGUAAAGCGCGUGCAGGCGGUUCGGUAAGUUGGGCGUGAAAUCUCCUGGCUUAACUAGGAGAGGUCGUCCAAUACUACCGGGCUAGAGAGUGGUAGAGGAAGAUGGAAUUCCCGGUGUAGUGGUGAAAUGCGUAGAUAUCGGGAGGAACACCAGUGGCGAAAGCGAUCUUCUGGACCAUUUCUGACGCUCAGACGCGAAGGCUAGGGUAGUAAACGGGAUUAGAGACCCCGGUAAUCCACGCUGUAAACGUUGGGCGCUAGGUGUGGGGUCCUUCCACGGAUUCCGUGCCGUAGCUAACGCAUUAAGCGCCCGCCUGGGGAGUACGGCCGCAAGGCUA
RNAcentral lists this ribosomal RNA (507 nucleotides) under uncultured Chloroflexota bacterium. RNAcentral's name for it is "bacterial SSU rRNA". It matches the Rfam family "Bacterial small subunit ribosomal RNA", at positions 373 to 896 of the family's 1533-position model. Lineage: Bacteria; Bacillati; Chloroflexota. The record is from RNAcentral.